AAGACUGUUUGACCAAGCUGGAUUCCUUGUCUAUGUGCCUGGGCAAGGCAUGGUUUCCCAUAUGUGUUCCUUCCUGCUGUGUUUUAUUGCUUGGGGUGCCCAUCUUCCGCUCUUGGGAGAUACAUUAGUAAUCCGUGUUCCAGAGGUUUACUUUCAAAGUUUUCAAUGACCUGUGGUUAAGUGAGAUCCCAGAAUAUGAAACGGAAAAUUACAGUAAAAAAAAAAUUCUAAGUUUGGAAUUGCGUGCUGUUCUGUGUAGUGUGAUGAAAUCUUUUACCACACCAACCAGGACAUGAAUCACCCCAUAGCCUAGCACAGCAUGCUGCAUGCGUCACAGAGCUGUUAGUCACUCCCUAGCUGUCUCCUUCGUCAGACCAACUGUUGCAUAUCACAGUGCUGUGGAGCUGGUGAUUCAGGUAUGUCCUCCCAAGGGACAAAGAGUGAGUUGGGGGUAUCAGUCAUGUGCCGCACAAACACCCCACUUCUUUCUUCCAUCCAGCACAUGGUAGGUACUCCUCAAGCCCUUUUAAAGUUUUGGCACGGACAAGGGAAUGUAAGCAAAAGUGAUACAUUACUUCCAGGAGGAAGCAUGAUUUUCUACCUCCUUUCCCCACUGCUGCAGAAACAGAAGCACCCAUUGAACACCAGUCUCUGAAUAAAGGAAUCUGUUUGCAGAGCCCCCUGCUGGCCGGUGGUGGACACACAGUACAAAAGAGAAAUCACCACACUGCUUUACAUUUCUGAGCAGGCUUGUUACUGCAGCAUGACACAACCUCUUCUGGCUAAAUAAAUAAUCUGGUCCUCAACGCCUUUGUCUGGCACAGCAGCUCUCUGAGAGAGAGGAGAGGAAUACAUUGUUCCCAUUUGUAAGGUGAAGAAACUGGCACCAAGAGAAUGAGACAGAGGCCGAAUGAAGACACUGUGGCCAGCAACUUAUGCUCACUGUCAGAGGAGAACAGCUGCUCCAAGCAGGAAAGCUGGUCAGAGACUAGUGACUUCCUCACCUGGUGAAGGUCAUUUGAUGACUCAGUAUCAAAGUCAGCACUAAAAUGAAAACAACAAUAACAAGAAAAGGUAACAAUUGUUGGCAAGAGCCCUGUGUGUUACUGACAGAAAGUUAGAUGGUACAGCCCCUGAGGAUAAACGGUAAGGUGGUACCUCAAAAAAUUAAACGUGACUUACCUGAAGAUACAGAAACUUCAUUCCCACCUGCCAGCGGGUCCAGAGGAACCAGAGAAGAUAUUUGUAAACCUACAUUGUUAACAACGUUAUUUACAUUAUCUAGAAGGCAGAAGCAACCCUUGUCCAUAAUAGGCAAACGGACACACCACAUGGCAUGUACACCUCCCAGGGAAUCUCAUUUCAUUGUUGAAGGAAGAAAAUGCCAGGGCACCCUGCAGCAGAAGGAACAUGGAGGACACUGGGGAGGGGCCAGCUGGACCAGGAUGAGACUCUACUUUGAAAGAAAUGCCACAGAGCUUCUAGAUAUCAAUCACAUACAAGAGGCAGCUGAGGGGUGAGUUCAGCUAAAUAUCCCAUUAAGUUGCCUGUGGUCUUCCCCUCCGCUGAGGAGGAGGGGAAAAAAGCAUUGGGGGGAGAGCACUGGCACUUCAGUAAUCCCUACAAAACUUGGACCUCCCGUGUAGUGCUGGGUGUAGGUAAGGCACAGGAUAACUGGUAUGGAAAGCAGUAUGACAGAGCCUGAAAAUUCUAAACACAGGACUGACAAGUGCUCUGGUGGUCUACCUCUGGGUUUCUAACCCAGACAAUCAAGAGCAGAGAUUCUGGAGGGCAGUCUCUGCACACGUGUUUAUAAUAACACCGUUCGCAAUCGGCCAAAGUUAGAGACAACAGGACAUCCAUGGAUUUAAUGACAUCACCUUGGCCAAGAUUCAGGAAUUCGGGACUCCAAGUUAUCCUGAACAGUCUAAAACCGAAAAUGGAAAGAUGAUUUUGCUUUGAGUCCAUGUGAACUCUGUGGAUGAGGGGAUGGACGCGGAGAACAUCUAUUCUGAGUAGAUGAGUUAAACAUAAAACUCUCAACACCAGUGAGGAAAUCAGAUUCCACGUUCACUUAAACUGUCCGCAGAGACCUUCAUUUUACAAACAAGAAACCCAGUGAAGGAAAGUCUGGCCUGGCAUUCCUUUCAUUUGCAGAUGUUGUGUAUCCUCAUUAUUCAUUGUAAACAGAGAAGGCUCCGUGCCACCUCAGUCAUACUGCAGGAGGAUGUUUUCACCAGCUCAGAAAAGGGGGGAAUGGGUGUAAAAAUAUUUAUGCUGCAUUUUCCAGGACUGUGUUUGAUUUCCUUUUUGGUUUGUUUAUUUUGUGGAAUGAGAGGGAUGGUGCAUCUUAUUUUUACAAGCUUGUAUUGUUACCCCAGGAAUGUUUUGGCAGAUGCAAAAUUAAAAACAAACUUCAUGUUUUCUUCAGUGCCCUUCAGGGCCCGAAAGGACAGGAACAAAGUAUCGUGGUUUGUCAUCAGAGCGCCAGGAAGCCACAAGGAAACGGAGUUUAUGAACCAAAUUGCUCAAAACGGGAAAGAAAUGAAAAAUGUGCAGCAGAUGCUCCCAGACUGGAGAACAAGCCAGAGGAAGGCCCACAGCAAAGCUUAUUGGCCUUCAACAAUAGCUGUUUGCACGCACAUGCGCGCGCAUGCGCACACACACACACACACACACACACACACACACACACACACCAAUUCUCUUCUAUAGUCAUUUCCCUGGGAUUUGAAAUUGAUAACUGUGGACACAAAGACACACUUGGCCUAAUUUGUCAGGCUAUUUGGAGUCAUGGGUGUCACCCUGCAUGUCUGGUAUGUGUACAGAUGGCUCCUGCUGGCUUCAAUAAAAUUGGAAAGCAGAAAGUC
Molecule: non-coding RNA, 2870 nt
Organism: Cricetulus griseus (Chinese hamster)
Lineage: Eukaryota; Metazoa; Chordata; Mammalia; Rodentia; Cricetidae
Source: RefSeq, a predicted model, not a curated record